Long non-coding RNA from Telopea speciosissima, 296 nucleotides. RefSeq lists it as uncharacterized. The transcript has 2 exons. The record is from RefSeq and is a predicted model, not a curated record. NCBI's taxonomy places the organism in Eukaryota, Viridiplantae, Streptophyta, Magnoliopsida, Proteales, Proteaceae.
AAGUAUACGAUGGAGUAGACCAAAUAACGCCGUCGACCAGUGUCAAGCAACGCGAAAACCCAACUCUGUCGCAAAUAUCAUGAUUAGGUUAGGAGUGUGAUGGUCAACAAAAUUACAUAAACAUUAAAUAGAGUAAUAGCAUCUAACCAGCCAAUUAAAGUAGGGUAUGAAGCUUAUGAUUCCCAUCACGGCAAACCUCGCAUCAGUAGCAUCGAUAGUAGAGUUGCCAUCAUCUUCCGGUACGCUAGAGACCGGGAAAAUCAGCGAAUUGAGAACGCAAGCUCCGAUUGCAACCG